This is a non-coding RNA of Lolium perenne, 6525 nucleotides long. NCBI's taxonomy places the organism in Eukaryota, Viridiplantae, Streptophyta, Magnoliopsida, Poales, Poaceae. The record is from RefSeq and is a predicted model, not a curated record.
UAGCCUGCGCCAGUAGAAUUUCCAACCCGCUUUUGACAGCAGCCGUCCGAUGUGGUAGCUUUUUUCUCACCCGCUGCUUCUCUGGACAGGUGACUGACAGGUGGGACUAGGUGUGUGCGGGACCAGCGAACAGAGGCAGGGACGCUGCUCGUUUCACGUCGCACACUCUUCCUACGCGCGUGGGGCACGGUGAAACCCUAGAUCGAUCAACCACUCCCCCAGCCCAAUCGGCUGGCCAAUCAAAAGCCUCAUCUCUCCCCAAUCCCGUGCCGUCUCUCCUCCUCCGGCCGCCCGAUCCAUCCAAGCGCCAUGAGCUGGUGGUGGGCGGGCGCCAUCGGCGCCGUCAAGAAGCGCCAGGACGAGAACGCCGCCGCGGCCGAGCCCACCUUACAGAGCGUCGCGCUCGUCGUCGGAUCCACGGCAUCGUCGGCACCUCCCUCCUCGACAUCCUCCCGCUGCAGGACACCCCCGGCGGCCCCUGGAAGGUCUACGCGCUCUCCCGCCGCCCGCUCCCGCCCUGGUCCCCGCCAUCCUCCCCCGCCGUCACGAAUCUGCACCUCGACCUCGCCGACUACGCCGCCGUCGCCGACGCCCUCGAGCCCCUCAAGGACAUCAGCCGGUGGGGCUCGCGAUCUCCGGUUAAGGACGCCUCCCCCGCCUCGUCCUCCCCUGCCUCCGCACCCGGAGAGGACGACCCAACCACGAUGUAAGCCUUCGACCCUUCUUCCAUGGAGGCACCUCGAUCUGACGGCGCUAGAUCCACCCAGCCGCGGCUCAUGCUAUAUGAUUCGGUCGGGAAGGCCAUCCUAUCGCCGGUUCUACCGCCGCUGAUGCCCAGGCCGCCUCGUGUAUUUCUCUUCUCCGGCGGUGGUUCCUCGUCUUGCUUCUCCCUCCUCUCUUUCUCUUCCUAUUCCUCUCUGUCUGUCUCUCUCUUAUCUCCCACUCUUGUUGAUUUUAGGUACGGUUCUACUAUUAGAAUUUGUUAUCUUUCAUCUUCGAGAGAGAUAGGAGCCAGCUCUUGCUCAUGUGCUCUAGAUCUCAUAUAUAUUUUGAUUCUGAAUCGAUUUGGCCUGUCUGUUGAUGCCGAUGAUGAUUUCCUGCUCGUUUUGCAGAUCUGACAUGGAUUUCGCUGCAAACUAUGUCAGCUGGUCGGUGGCUGUUGCUUGCCAUUGAGGUCCACAUGAUAGUGGAAUGAGAAGCAAGGUAUUAUGUGGAACCGUUGCUUAAUGAAAAUGGUAAAGAUUGGAGUUUGCUGCAUCUGUUUUGCCUGGCGAGAAGCACGAGGGGGGCCGGCACGGGGAGCCCUCAGGGUCGCGCGGCCUCCUCCUCCUUGGCACCGGUGCGCCUGGCGCUGAGCAGCGGCCAUGGCGCCGCUCGCCGGAGCACAAUAGCCGUCCGGUUGCUCGUCUGACCUACCUCCCUAGAUUCAAAUUGGAGACUACAAAGCAGCCCAGAAUCUAUAUAAGUUCGGACACCACGCUGACUAUAUUCCCAAGCGCCCACGCCCACGGAGAUGGAAGGGGCUGCAGACGGUGAGUUGCAGAUUUCUAUCUGUAUGUUUUUUCCUUCCUUAGUAGUUCUCUUUUAUGCUUCAGUGUUUCUAUUAAAAUUAGUUUGCAGUCCUUACAAAAGAAGCUAGAUUAGGUGGGUGUGGUACAAAAAAAAAGAUUGUUGAUCAGCAUGUCCAGUCAACUUUUGCUCAUCGGUUCACUUUGCAUAUAGUGUGUAACUGAGAUUCGCUGUCUCAAAGAUGAUGAUUGAGAUAAAGUGUGAGCAAUGUCGUUUUGCUUUAAGAAAACUUUUAUAUAUUUGCACAUUUGCACUAAAUAUAUGGUCUGAUAAAUAGUAGGUGUGCUCGAUCCCAGAUUUUCACUAUCAGUAUAUAAAACUGACAAUGGUUUGUGCAAUGCUUAGGAGUAGCUUUACAACUCUCUCAAAAUGAGUAGCAUUGUUGAGAUAGAUGUCAGCAUGGGUGAAGGCAAGGUAUCACUUAGAGUUAGGUGUGUGUUAUUCUGGUUUUCCCUGGGAGCAGAAUGUGACCGUGAGUGUGGUUGGGUGAUCCAAUCUGGUCAAGAUCUGUGUAUAGCUCUUUCAAAAAAAAAAUUGUGUAUAGCUCGGCAAUUCAGGUACCCAGCUACCUUUUUCAUUUAAUGGCAUGUUAAACCUGGUGCAUAUUCUAGCCAGUGGUGCUUUUGUUAUCAGGUUUAAGUGUUUAAUUUGAUACCCUUAUGUUUCUUCCCAAAGUUCUGAGAUGUCCAAAGUAUUUCAGAUCCUGAGAGGAAUCAAUACAUGCGAGAUGUGUUUAUUUUACUGCUAAGAAUACAUGCUUAGUUUUAUUAUUAUUUGGUUCCGUUUCAUUGCUGAUAAGAACAGAUGCAAAGUGUUCUCAUUCUCAUGUUCCUUCUUACUGUUGAGAACAGAUAAUAAUAUAUAUACCGUAUUCUUAGAUUGACCAUGUCGUGUUGAAAAUGUCACCAGGUUCUAAUCCAAAAUAUAUGUUCUCUCGCAAAAAAAAAAAGGUUUUUGUUGUCAAAUUCAAUAUAAGUUGUCUCCUGUACAUGUAUGUGUAUGUUUGUCAAGAAAAUAAGAAAACAGUUUGUUAUUGUCUUUCGUGGUAAAUCUGUACCAAAAAUUAACUUUAUAUCACAUGAUUCAGAUCAUAUUGGAGGGUUAUUGUAAGAACUGAAAUGAUGUGCAUACUGCAUAGCCUUUCUAAAUGAUAUAGAUAUCAGCGAGACCUCAAUUCCGCUUCAAAAGGAGUUAGGGCUACUUGCUCAUCUUAGACUUACCUACAGGGCUAGAUAUCAAGUAAAAGUAUGAGGUGUUUCACGUUAUGUAUUUUAUUUCUAGCAAUUAUUUAAUGCAUUUUCUACCAUUUAUAUGUAUAGUUUGCAGAGGUAACAACCCCUUCCAUAUUUCAGGUAAAAAGAAGUGAAUUUAUUUUCUUCUGUAUGUACUACAUGCUUUCACACCUUAUUUAUUUCCGAGUGUUUUCAAAAAUUUAUUUGGAAGGAGAAAACACAAUUCUAUACUUAAUUAAAAUUUAGGUAUUGAUGUGUGUUGUAUAGGAACAAAUAAUAUAUUGCUGUUGUCUUCGGUUCUCCAUAUAUUACUUGUCUUUUUGCAGCCAUUCAUGAUAGCUUGAAAUGGACUAAGGGUUUUAUUGAAAUGAACAAGUUACUUUAGUUGGGACUUUUCUUGAAAUGAACAAUAAGAAAACCAUUUGGAUAUGUCUAUAUUUUUGUCUGCUAAUAUACUAUGAUCCAUUCCUGUAUCUUGGAAGAGCCAAGUAAGAAGCUAAUCCAGAGGUGCAUACUAAUUUCUAAUGAACCCUAAUUAUCAGAUUAGAUCAGUAGCAUUGCUUGGUAUUUGAAGUUAUUCAGCUCAGACCUACUAUCAGUUUUCAUACUAAUAAUUUGUCUACUUUUUAAGAAUGUAGAUAUGGAAUAAUUAUUGUUCCAAAAUAUACCGCUUUCUUAUAUAUGUGGGGCUCUGUAACAUGUUUGCAUUUGUCAUUUAUCUGAACCAAGAAUUUAUUGUUGUUCCAAUAUAUACUGCUUUCUUACGUAUGUGGGCUCUGUAACAUGUGUGCAUUUCUUAUUGAUCUGAACCAACAAUUAAUUAUCCACAGAUGAACUAUAAGCAUGAUCAGAUGAUCUGUAUAUUAUUUUAUUCUAUGUUGCCUUCGAAGCUUUGUAGGGAGUAAAUCAUGCAUUUAAUAGUUACAUAUGUCAUAACUGAUGGAGUUUUGUUGGCUUUGGAUGUCAAGUAUUUUCUUUCAAUCACACUCGAAAAUUAGGAAGCUGACGAAAAAGGAGCAAUUGAAGUAGUGGAGAUGUUGUAGUUUAUAUAAACUGCCAGCAUUGCUAAGUGACUAUUAAUUUAUCAUUUUGUGAAACCUAUUGCUCUUUUAUUUGAAUUGAGGGUCUUCUUAUGGCCUAGAUAUUUUCCUAUCAGAGACCUUUUAUGGAUAAUUUAGGCAAUGACUUUCUUAUCAAAUAUGACGACCAUUGCAAAUAAUUUCUUUCGGUAGGUGAUCACUUUAAAAUUUUCCCAAACCUAAUAUUAUAUAGGUCAGUUUAUGAACCAGUUGUAAAUUUGUGGCUAUGGUCGCUUAUUUAUUCAGGGAAGAGGACAUUCCCAUAACAAAGCCAUUUGACUUUACGUUGUUAAACUACCCCUUCCACAAGGGGUUGCAGUAAACCAUACCGCCCAACAAAUAUGACGACCAUUGCAAAUAAUUUCUUUCGGUAGGUGAUCACUUUAAAAUUUUCCCAAACCUAAUAUUAUAUAGGUCAGUUUAUGAACCAGUUGUAAAUUUGUAACAAAGCCAUUUGACUUUACGUUGUUAAACUACCCCUUCCACAAGGGGUUGCAGUAAACCAUACCGCCCAACAAGCAGUGAAACACCCUGAAGUUUAGGAGAAUCAACAUCACCAAUUUGCUAGGAGAGUAAACUGUAGUGCCCAACAAUAGGUAUGCUUCAGGAAUUAUUGCUUAGCUGAAUAUGCAUAAAGAUCACAACUGCCUUACUUCGCCAUUUGCAGUUAAUUAUGUUCUUUACUUCCAUAUUGUUGUAUUAUUGAUAGGUAAAAGUAGAACCAAAUAUUUCCUAUAUCUGUUCAAGGUACUAUAGAGCCUGGGGCUCAUAUUUAGUGCUACAGAAUACUAGAAAACGAUUGAUGUUUGGUCUGCUGGUUAUUUUUGUGUGUGUGAGAAGAGACCCUAGGCUGGUUUUGAGAUUACCGGCGGCAAGAUAUCUAAUAAAAUUAAAUGUGAUCUGAUGAUUGCAUAAGCAGGUCUGCUUUGCAAAGUUAAAACUCAAGUAUACACACACAUCAUGUGAUUCCAUUUUACUUAUAUUUUCAGGUGAUUUCCUUGUAUUUUAUGUUUCAGUGCUGCUGUUGUUGGGUGUUUUUUUUGCGGCGGAGUCUAUUUUGUGGCCUUCAUAUGCGGAUUCUUCACCCCUUUCCAACUCAACACCUAUGGUGAUGCUUAGUGCAGUGAUAGUGUCUGUUGUUUCAGAGAUUGGUUUUGGUUUUGAUCCUGCUUUUACAAUUCCAGGAUAUGUAUGAUUUUUGCUCUCCGAUAGGUACCUUAUCUUCACUAUAAUUGAUAUUUGGAGCACUUUUUAUGAGUUACAAAAUAUCUCCUGCAGUAUUUGCGGUUAUGUGUCACAUUUCUUAUGACAAAUUAUCUUCUGUUUUAAUUUUCCCCGUUGAAUAACACUUUACAGUUAACUUCAUAGGUGAAAACAAAAGAUGUCACGCCCUUCACCAAUUUAUGUCGAAAGGGAGUAAGAAGCCUCCUGGGCUCUGCAUCCUCGGAUGCACAGGGCCAUGUGUUUUAUUAAAAUAUACCAUUAAAGUAGUAAAUAGGACACCAAACGAAAAACUCUAAAAAAUCAGCUAAAAGUCUGCAUUAAUUGGUUCCAAAUUGCGCAGAUUGGUUCUUGAGUACGUGAUGCUCCUAAAGCCAUUGGGUGUUUUCGAAUUGUAGAACACGCCUAUAAAUUACAAUCCUCCCGAUUGUAGGUUAGUCUUACUGACUUUAAAUGGUAUGUUCUUUUUACAUUUUGUUUUCCGCUCCGGGAAUGAAAGUAUGAGGAUAUUUACAUGACUUCAAAAAUGUUAGAACUUUCUCUGUAUCUCUUGUUGGGAGUCUUUUUUGGCUCUUGUGCAUUGUAGGAGAUCGUGAAUGGCAGAAUUAGGUUACAGAUAGUGUGAGAAAUCACUGAUUGGUAGACUGAGCUAAUUUGGAACAUCUUUUUUGCUUCACCAUGUAGUACCUACCUUAGUUUUUCUAUUUCUCAAACUUUAUGAUAUUAUGGUCCUUUGUAACUGCAAAGAGAAAUCUACAAAUAAUAUGUUAAGUGCUCAAAGUGAAUAUGUAAAUUGAGUUAAUUUGUGGUAUUAAGUAGGAGUUUAUAUAACUAACUAAAUGCAGGCAUGCCAGAGGUGCAUGUGACCACAGCUGAGUACCUUAGUGCGCUUACUUUCACUCAUGUCAUGAAAAGACUGGUGGCCUGCCGCCGAGGGAGGAGACACUGACUGCGCUGAGCCGAUGUCAUCUGAAGAAUCAAGCACCAAGAUACUGCAUCCUGCCACUGCUCGCCAUCUCGCCGCUCCAUGGCUAGGUACAGCGGCUUUCCAUGCACACCACUGUGCUCGGUUUACCUUGGGCUCAUCAUCAAGGACGAUGGCAGCAGUCAGGCCUGAUCCGGAGGCGGUUUGGCACAAGGUUUCAUAACUUCAAAUCAUUCAGUAAUUAAUCUUCAAGAAAUGUAUUAAGAGCAUCGUGUAGAAGUUCAUGAUUGUUUGACUCAGUUAUGGCAAAUGAAGCAGAUGAGUUUUUCAUGUAUUCUUGUUUGUAGCAAAGUAUAAGGGCAAUAAUUUUUUUAGAUGGCUUAUUAACAUUUGUGAAACAGUGGCUUGUUCCUUCACCAUACCACAUGCUUCAAAGGGUGGAGCAUGUCACCAUCCUCAAUCCAUGAGUGUGAUAAGCAUUCGGUGCUUCAUGCUGAUU